RNAcentral lists this long non-coding RNA (797 nucleotides) under Nicotiana benthamiana. Its description in RNAcentral is "long non-coding RNA (NBEN_LNC007500)". The record is from RNAcentral. Lineage: Eukaryota; Viridiplantae; Streptophyta; Magnoliopsida; Solanales; Solanaceae.
AAAAAUCUUAUGACCACUAAUGUUACAAUUCAAGCUCGUGGCACGUAUUAUAAAUUUGAUCCAACCGAUCUCACGGACUUGUCCCUCGUGCUACGCCAGCAUCAAGUCCAACAACAUGUAUCAUGAGAACUUUUAGACUCCAUAAAUAUAUAUACAUAUAUGUACGUAGCAUUUGUUCGGAGUAUAUAUUACGCCAUACAGAUCGAAGAAAGAUUAUCAUUUAAUAGGUGAUAUCAAAUAAAAAAUUCAUAAGAAAACAGAUUGUACAGAGAAGCCAUGACGACGGCCAUUGCUUCACACCUCAUCGACUACGCCAUAAGUUAAGAAAAUGGUAAAAUUAUAUGAGAAUGAACACCCAGUAAAGGCCUUUGGAUGGGUAGUAGAGAUACUUCUAGUGUUCUUUCUCCUUUUUACUUUUGAAGAAGGUAUUAUUUGAUUUCAUUUCCAAAAUAUUGGUUGUCUUUUAAAAAAAAUGUUCUUGAUUCUCUGUUUGGGUUUUGGAACGGCUCCAGGUUAUUAAUUUUAAUAAUAACCUUAUUGUAUCAGGUUAUUAAUUUUAUUACUUAUUGUAUAGUUUUAGCUAGGGGAGUUAAUAUGGAUCGGAUUUGUUCAGUUUUUAUCGAAACCAAACCAAAUCAACUAUAUCGGUUUUGAUUGGUUCGAUUUUGUCGGGUUUUUCAGGGUUUUCAAAUUUUUGUUAUAUGAAUAUUAUUUCAAUCUUCCUUUGUUAAAUUUUUUAUAAGUAAAUGUAUGUUUUAGUAAAAUUUUAAAAAUGUCAAAUAUAUGUUCUAUUAAAA